UGCAGUCGAGGGGCAGCACAGAUAGCAAUAUUGGGUGGCGACCGGCAAACGGGUGCGGAACACGUACAGAACCUUCCUUUAAGUGGGGGAUAGCCCAGAGAAAUUUGGAUUAAUACCCCGUAACAUCAUUGAGUGGCAUCAUUUAAUGAUUAUAGAUUUAUCGCUUAGAGAUGGCUGUGCGGCUGAUUAGGUAGUUGGUGUGGGUAACGGCCCACCAAGCCUUCGAUCAGUAACUGGUGUGAGAGCACGACCAGUCACACGGGCACUGAGACACGGGCCCGACUCCUACGGGAGGCAGCAGUAAGGAAUAUUGGUCAAUGGAGGCAACUCUGAACCAGCCAUGCCGCGUGAAGGAUGAAGGUCCUCUGGAUUGUAAACUUCUUUUAUCUGGGACGAAACACUCUUAUUCUUAAGAGCUUGACGGUACCAGAAGAAUAAGCACCGGCUAACUCCGUGCCAGCAGCCGCGGUAAUACGGAGGGUGCAAGCGUUAUCCGGAUUCACUGGGUUUAAAGGGUGCGUAGGUGGGUCUGAAAGUCAGUGGUGAAAUCUCCGGGCUUAACCUGGAAACUGCCAUUGAUACUUCAGGUCUUGAAUUUUCUGGAGGUAAGCGGAAUAUGUCAUGUAGCGGUGAAAUGCUUAGAUAUGACAUAGAACACCAAUUGCGAAGGCAGCUUACUACGGGAGUAUUGACACUGAGGCACGAAAGCGUGGGGAUCAAACAGGAUUAGAUACCCUGGUAGUCCACGCCCUAAACUAUGAUUACUCGACAUUCGCGAUACACAGUGAGUGUCUGANCGAANNCAUUAAGUAAUCCACCUNNNNGUACGAUCGCAAGAUUGAAACUCAAAGGAAUUGGCGGGGGGUCCGCACAAGCGGUGGAGCAUGUGGNUUUAAUUCGAUGANACGCG
This 910-nucleotide ribosomal RNA is filed under the name uncultured bacterium. RNAcentral's name for it is "bacterial SSU rRNA". It matches the Rfam family "Bacterial small subunit ribosomal RNA", at positions 56 to 963 of the family's 1533-position model. The record is from RNAcentral.